AUAACCCUUGAGGCACAUGAGACACAGAGCUAAUGAAGUGCCUGAAGGAAAAAGUCUUACUAUCAAGCUAUGAAUCCUCUCCCCUGUGCCACAAACCAGAGGUCACAUGACUUAGGAAUGUGUAUCCAAAGAUAAUACUACCUUCAGAGAACUCUACUUACAGGUCUUGGACAAACAGUAAGCUAUUCACUCACAAAUGCAGGCCAGACUUAUUUCCCACUUUUCUAAACAAUGUAGUACAAUCUACUAAUCCAAUGAAAUAAAUCGAACAAGAAGAUCCCUGCUGAUGGGCAGCGCUUCUGACGAGGAUUUAGUGAAUGUGCUGCUGGACAGUGAUAAAAUGAAGAGUGGUACUGGGAAAGCCAAGUUAUCCGACUGGGUCGUGGAUGUGUAGCUGUAAGGAAACCCACAGGAGAACUCCCAGGGUGAACUUUGUUGAUCUUAUAGCUUUUAAAGCUCAAUUUCCCUCUGCAGCAUGGCAAUCAUCUACAUUGGAUGCUUCAUACGACUCUACUUUUAUCCGUGCUCAAAUAUUUAGAGAAAUUUCUAAGAAGUUAAUACAAUACCAGUAGUAAAUUGUUGCAAUGAUCCAUCCAGGAGACUUAAAAAUUGUCAGACAAACCUACACAGCAUGUUGACGAUAUACAGUAUGUUCCUAAGUGUAUACAAUCUUGGAUGUCAGUUCACACUUUUACAAUGUCCCAUUCUAUAUGCAUGUAUUGAAGCUAAUAAUACAAAUGCCAGCAGAAUGCACUUAAUA
This 760-nucleotide long non-coding RNA is filed under the name Crocodylus porosus (Australian saltwater crocodile). Its description in RNAcentral is "lncRNA (ENSCPRG00005010638.1)". Lineage: Eukaryota; Metazoa; Chordata; Crocodylia; Crocodylidae. The record is from RNAcentral.